AAGUCGUAACAAGGUUUCCGUAGGUGAACCUGCGGAAGGAUCAUUAUUGAAUUUUGAGAGGGGUUGUAGCUGGCGUUCUCGGACGCAUUUUGUGCACGCCCUGAUCAUUAUCCAUCUCACACCUGUGCACACUCUGUAGGUCGGUUACUGGGGCUACUGUCUUUAUUGGUGGUGCUCUGUGGCCUUCCUAUGUUUUUAUACAAACUACUCAGUUUAAAGAAUGUCAAUUGCGUGUAACGCAUUUAUAUACAACUUUCAGCAACGGAUCUCUUGGCUCUC
RNAcentral lists this unclassified non-coding RNA (279 nucleotides) under air metagenome. RNAcentral describes it as "partial contains small subunit ribosomal RNA, internal transcribed spacer 1, and 5.8S ribosomal RNA". The stretch from base 1 to 46 matches the Rfam family "Eukaryotic small subunit ribosomal RNA", at positions 1786 to 1831 of the family's 1831-position model. The record is from RNAcentral.